AACGCGUAGGUAAUCUACCCUCAGGCGGGGGACAACAUUCCGAAAGGAAUGCUAAUACCGCAUAUGACCACGCUCACUACGGUGAAAGUGGUAAAGGGCGCCUCAAAGCGCCACCAGAGGAUGAGCCUGCGUCCCAUCAGCUUGUUGGUAAGGUAACGGCUUACCAAGGCUAAGACGGGUAGCUGGUCUGAGAGGAUGAUCAGCCACACUGGCACUGGAACACGGGCCAG
Molecule: ribosomal RNA, 230 nt
Filed under: uncultured bacterium
Lineage: Bacteria
Description: partial 16S ribosomal RNA
Rfam family: Bacterial small subunit ribosomal RNA
Source: RNAcentral